ACUUUCAGGGGAUGAGGACACAGCACUGAACAAGACUCCACACCUUUCCUCGUGGAGAUUAUCUCGUGGAGCCAGACAACAAAGGAAGUAAAAUACGUCACAUGUCAGAUGGUGAUCUUACUCAGAACUUCCUGGCUUCAGCAAGACUGGCCUGUGACGUGAGUGAAGAGAAAUGGAUGAGACGCUCCCUGAUAGAAACAAGGCUCUCUGGACACGGUCUCUCCAGUUGGACUGAGCCACACGGGGUUUUGAGUAUGCUUUUUAUCUCACCAUGAAAGAUGUUUGAGAAAUGCUGAGCAAGGCUGGCCAUUGCAUUUGCAGCAUAUCAGGGGCUGGUUACGACAGACGCUGGGUAGGAGAAAGAUAUGCGGACCUGGACACCAUCAGUGAUCCUCUCUAGCCUGCAGAUAGGGAAUAGAACACUAUUUUACUACUCGAAGUAUGUCCAUGGACCAGGAGCUGGAAGAAGUGUAGACUCUCAGACCCCACCCUGGAUCCGCUGAAGCAGCUUUUGCCCUUUUGACACAAUUCCCAGGUCUUUCCUUCCCUUUGGCUGUUGAAACAUGACUCCUGGGGGCCGGUGGGAAAAAGAGUUGAAGGUGGACUGUCCUCUCAUUAGCUGUCCAGGAGGAUGAAUAAAAAAAUAGAAGUUCCUGGCUUUUCCACUGAGUCAGCAAGAAUGCUUUUGAUUUUUCGUUUAGGUUGACUGAUAACGGGCCUAGAGAGGGAGAAGAUCCAGAAUGCUUGGAGAAGGAUUAGCCCUACAGAUUCAACUUCGGAAUUCCCAGGAUAUACACAGAGCUCACUGGAACAUCUGACUAGUGCGGAGGUGAAAAUUAAGGGCAUCACGCUGAUGUCAGGCGACGGGAGGCAGGUGAAGGACAGCCGGACGGGAAGGGCUGCAGAGACUUGGGCGAGCGAGCCUCCCUCAGCAGGUCAGCGACAGACCUGCUCGCCAAAGGUCUGUUUGGAACCACAAGCCCAAUUAAUCUCCUGCUUCUCAUCCCUGGCAGACCUGGCCACCGCCCAAAACGCGAGCCCUCUGGACAGACACGCUUCCUUGCUUGUCCUCAUUCCCAUGCUGUUUUGUGCAUUUUUCGCCCCUGAUCCAUCCUCCCACUGUGGUGCCUUCUGCCAGCCCUGCCAGCCUGCCCUCUGCCAGCCCCGUCCAGCGGUACACGCCCCGCCCCCUCUCACACUUGUUUGUCACGGAAUGUUCCCUCCCGCUUCCUCACCUUAACUGAAGCCCAGCUCUGGCCCAAGGACAGGGGUUUCCCAGAGAGCAGGUUCUUUCUCCCCCAAAGACCAAAGAGUUGCUGGGGAGACCCCCCCCCCCCCCCCCCCCCCCCNACAUAUUGCAAUGGGAUAGCACUUGGGGUAUAUUGGGUACAACGAAUUAUCAGCAUUAAUUUCACCACUUUUUGUUUCUUCAGUGUGGCUACUGGAAAAUUCUAAAGGCCACAGAUGUCUCCUAUUUGUUGUAUCUCCUACUUCUCUAUUCCUAUUGACUAGCACUGCUCUGUGACCAUCAAGACCUGUGUGGAUCUCAGACUCUGGGCUCUAAAUCUUCUUUCAGCUCCGAUACAGGCUCAGGCUGCUUUUUAAUUAAAAAUACUUAAACUGCUUUUUUUUACAUAUUACAAAGUAAAACAUUUCCAUUAUAAAAUAUUAGAAAAUGCACGUUAUAAAACAUGAACAAAAAAGAACAGAAGCCCAUACAUAUGUAUAAAAGGACAUAUUACUUUUUGGUAAUUUUUUUACACUUUCCAGAUGUGUUAUAAACAUCUCCCCGUGUCCUUACAUAUUCUUCUAUGAGAAUUUUAAAAAAAUGGUUGCCUAGUAUUUUCUUGUAAGGGUAUACCGUAAAUUAUUUUGCCAGUGUUUGUUGAUUGAGCAGUAUUUUUGAACUUUUCUAUUGUAAAUGUAGCAGAAUGACUGCUAAGAGGGAACUUAAAGUGGUUUUGGGGAGAGUCACCCUUUUUUCUAGCUUCAAAGGAGCAAGUCAGUCACAGAGGAGCCCACCCGCUUAUUUCUCAUCACGCAAUUGUCACAUAAUUUUUAGACAUAGAAUAUUCUGGGACAACCCAGAAGCGAGUGUUGUAAACCAAAGGAAACUGUUUCAGACUCAGGGUAAGUACUUCUAAAUUGGAUAACUACUGUCUUCUUUGGAGAUGGACUUUCAGGGGGUGAGAGUCUGGGUCUUUUCGUAGUGAGGUCAGCCCCUCUGCGCCCCCCGUGGAUCACUGCUGGGAGCCCAGCCCCCCUCCAUGGGCUUGAAGUCCUGGUGGCUGAGGAGGGAGACAGGUCUCAGCUCAGGGAGCCGGAUGAGGGAGAGAGCAGAUGUCCAGCCGACAGAUGUCCAGCAGGGAUUGUGGAGCAUGUGGACUGUCCUUAGAGAACCCCAGGGACACUUAGGGGCCACUCCAAAGCAGGCACUGUGGUCCUGCUGCUACCCAGAGAGAGACAGUCACCACUGACUCUCUGGACUAAAAAUGGCUGAGAUUUCAGCAGUGCUCGUCUGCUCCCAUCAGAGGGUGAAGUCAAGUCACUCGGGGAAACUUUCAAAGCUAAAGCUAUUCCUAAGCAGAAAGGGUGUCAAUGAUUUAACUAUACACGUAUCCAUGAAGACACAUAAUGUAACCACAAUUAAAUCAGAAUUUCCAGAGUCCGUACUUUCCAAUUCCAGGACUGUGUAAGAAGGGGUGUGCCUGGUUGUCUUCAGUGGAGACUUUCUAGGGUUCACAGUGUUUACUGCUGAAGUUCCAAGGCAGGUGAAAGCAGGAGUCAGACUGCCUGGGUUUGAAUCCAGAUCCACUGCUGGUGACUGUGGACAUGUUACUUAAUCUCUCUUAACUUCUUCCUGUGUUCAUCGUUGCCUUGUCGCGUUUGUACUCGUGGGGCCCCCACCUGGAACGCUCUCCAUCUCCACGUGGCUGACUCCACAUCAUCCGUGUCUCAGCUCAAUGGCACCUCUUCAAGCAGCCUCCUCUGAAGACCCAAUCUCUUCAGCUCGCCUGGCAUUUCGAAUUGCAUCCUCUUGUUUUAUUUUCUCUGCAGUUCAUUUAUUUGAUUUCACAUCAUGGUCUGUCUCCCUGUGCCGGGGUGUAAUCUCCCGAGGGCCGGCAGCUUUCGUGUCUUGUUCAACACCAACCCUCCAUGUCCAGAACUGAACCUGACACACGCUAGGGACUCAAGAAGUAUUGGUAGGAUCAGUGAAAGAAAGAUGGAGCGAAUGGUCUUGAUAAUGACCAUAUUCAAAGAAAGAUCAAGUCCCACCCAGAGUUAAAAAGUGCCUUGAUGGAAGAAAGCACUUUGGUUUGAGCAACGAACAAUGGAAUUUGGAAUCAACAGGCUCUGAGGGCCUGCCCAUCUCUGAGUCAAUUUUCUUUAUCCUGAAAGAUCCUGGUUUGAAGGGCAUUUUCCCCGGAUGCAUGGAGUCCUAAAAAACUCAAAGGGGGUGACAGUUCGAGGAACAUAAAAGAACAAUGAUGAGCUUAGACGAGCAAGGCAAGGGCAGACUGUGGCGAAAACAAUUACUGAUGCGCCCUGUACAGCACGUGGAGGAAAAGGUUGCUUCUCCUUCCUCCACCUGUGUCUGAAGCCAUGUACCUUGUGAGUCACUUGUGAAAUGCUGCUCUCUCUCAGGAGCUUCCAGUCCUCUGCCUCCUGAUGCAGUCAGGCCUUUCCCUCUGAAAUUCAAUUAAAUCAGCCCUAAUGAGUGGCUAGGCAGAAAGGGAGCUCUUGUUUACAGAACACAAGGAAUAAUAACGAGCCAACAUCAAUUAGGACUGUGACUGCAAAUCCGAAACAUUGAUUCUGCACCUCAACAGUGAGCAAAUUUCUGCUUUCAGACACCAAGUCUCGCAGGCUUGAGAAAGACAGAGCCUCGUGGGCUGUCUCUACGGCCGUGAUGUUCCAGAGAAAUCCCACUAAAAUUUUCCUUUGUCCUCCUGGCCUGUGGCAGUUCUGCCCAUCCCCCUUGACUGUUUUUCUGGCUGUUGCUCCUAUUGAGUUUUCUGAAUAAACACAGGCCACCAAGUUUUAACCGCAAUGAUAAAA
This 4059-nucleotide long non-coding RNA is filed under the name Sus scrofa (pig). RNAcentral's name for it is "lncRNA (ENSSSCG00040052531.1)". Lineage: Eukaryota; Metazoa; Chordata; Mammalia; Artiodactyla; Suidae. The record is from RNAcentral.